UACGUAGGGGGCAAGCGUUGUCCGGAUUUAUUGGGCGUAAAAGGCUUGUAGGUGGCCACGCCAAGUCGGAUGUGAAAUCUCCCGGCUCAACUGGGAGGGGUCAUUCGAUACUGGUGGGCUCGAGGCCGGUAGGGGGAAGCGGAAUUCCCGGUGUAGUGGUGGAAUGCGUAGAUAUCGGGAGGAACACCAGUGGCGAAGGCGGCUUCCUGGACCGGUUCUGACACUGAGGAGCGAAAGCGUGGGGAGCAAACGGG
RNAcentral lists this ribosomal RNA (254 nucleotides) under uncultured bacterium. RNAcentral's name for it is "partial 16S ribosomal RNA". It matches the Rfam family "Bacterial small subunit ribosomal RNA", at positions 524 to 776 of the family's 1533-position model. The record is from RNAcentral.